UACGGGGGGAGCAAGCGUUGUUCGGAUUUACUGGGCGUAAAGGGCGCGUAGGCGGUCAGCACAAGUCAGUUGUGAAAUCUCCGGGCUUAACCCGGAAAGGUCAACUGAUACUGUGCGACUAGAGUGCGGAAGGGGCAACUGGAAUUCUCGGUGUAGCGGUGAAAUGCGUAGAUAUCGAGAGGAACACCUGCGGCGAAGGCGGGUUGCUGGGCCGACACUGACGCUGAUGCGCGAAAGCCAGGGGAGCAAACGGG
Molecule: ribosomal RNA, 254 nt
Filed under: uncultured bacterium
Lineage: Bacteria
Description: partial 16S ribosomal RNA
Rfam family: Bacterial small subunit ribosomal RNA
Source: RNAcentral